RNAcentral lists this long non-coding RNA (226 nucleotides) under Elaeis guineensis (African oil palm). RNAcentral describes it as "long non-coding RNA (EGUI_LNC006031)". The record is from RNAcentral. Lineage: Eukaryota; Viridiplantae; Streptophyta; Magnoliopsida; Arecales; Arecaceae.
AUCAGAUCUAUAUCCGAUCCAAUCCAAUUGUUACCCCUACAUGUUCGCUUAAUACAGAGAAGUAGGAGCUUUCCAAAAUAGGUCAAUUAGUUGACUGGUCAUCAAAUACUUGAUUUUUAAGUGUACUUGUAAAUUUGAACUUGCUCCGAUGGUCACACCCCUUUACUUGGCGUUCAGAGAUUCUAGGUUUGAUUCUUGGUUUGUGCAUCCUCAGAAAUAUGGACCC